This 84-nucleotide small nucleolar RNA is filed under the name Saccharolobus islandicus HVE10/4. RNAcentral describes it as "Sulfolobus islandicus HVE10/4 non-coding RNA". Lineage: Archaea; Thermoproteati; Thermoproteota; Thermoprotei; Sulfolobales; Sulfolobaceae. The record is from RNAcentral.
AUUAACAAUCCUUAAAUACUGGAUAAAGGAAAUGAAUAUGUGGAUAGACAAUCCAAUACUGCAAUAAUGUUAAUAGGUCAUGGU